CUCAGAGAUGGCAAUGGCUGUGAGUGGGCAAAUUGUAAGCACUGAAGAUCUCCUGUGUAAUCGCACUGCAGAUGACAGAGGAAUGGAAUCACUGAGAUUCAGUUCCCCUGAGGAAGAACAGCCUUAAAAUCUGAAAGGCUCUAGGAGAUGGGAUGGGAAAUACCUCUGCAAGCUAUGCCUCGCUAGGGAGAUGUCCAUUCAAUGACUUUUUCCUGAAAGAAAAUACAAUGAAGAUGGUCUUGGUGAAUUUAUGAUGACUCCAACCCAUAGAAAGCAGUGGAAAAUAUUAAACAUAUGAAGUAAAUCUCAAGGUAUAUAGCCUCAUGAAGACACAUCAUUGAAUCAUUUACUAGGGUUUCUUACAUAUUCCUGAAACUUACCUGUAUUUCUUACCUACCCCUGCUUCUAACAUGAACACUUGCUGUGAUAAACACUUUGAAUUCAUGUAUAAGAAAGAAGGCAAGAAAGAUGAGAUAGACAGCAAUGUGACUGUGUGCUGUCCAGCAACUUUAACAUAUUAUACCAAUUAAACUAAUCAUCAAAUUC
Long non-coding RNA from Bubalus bubalis (water buffalo), 546 nucleotides. RefSeq lists it as uncharacterized. Lineage: Eukaryota; Metazoa; Chordata; Mammalia; Artiodactyla; Bovidae. The transcript has 2 exons. The record is from RefSeq and is a predicted model, not a curated record.